This 466-nucleotide ribosomal RNA is filed under the name uncultured bacterium. RNAcentral describes it as "bacterial SSU rRNA". It matches the Rfam family "Bacterial small subunit ribosomal RNA", at positions 328 to 792 of the family's 1533-position model. The record is from RNAcentral.
UUACCAGACUCCUACGGGAGGCAGCAGUGAGGAAUAUUGGUCAAUGGGCGGGAGCCUGAACCAGCCAUGCCGCGUGAAGGCGAGUGCCCUACGGGCGUUAAACUUCUUUUGUGCGGGAGCAAUAAGGGCCACGCGUGGCCCGAUGAGAGUACCGCACGAAUAAGGAUCGGCUAACUCCGUGCCAGCAGCCGCGGUAAUACGGAGGAUCCGAGCGUUAUCCGGAUUUAUUGGGUUUAAAGGGUGCGUAGGCGGUUUGAUAAGUUAGAGGUGAAAUGUCGGGGCUCAACCCCGAAACUGCCUCUAAUACUGUUGGACUAGAGAAUAGUUGCGGUAGGCGGAAUGUAUGGUGUAGCGGUGAAAUGCUUAGAGAUCAUACAGAACACCGAUUGCGAAGGCAGCUUACCAAACUAUAUCUGACGUUGAGGCACGAAAGCGUGGGUAGCAAACAGGAUUAGAUACCCCGGUA